RNAcentral lists this ribosomal RNA (779 nucleotides) under uncultured Neocallimastigales. Its description in RNAcentral is "partial large subunit ribosomal RNA". It matches the Rfam family "Eukaryotic large subunit ribosomal RNA", at positions 18 to 634 of the family's 3401-position model. The record is from RNAcentral. Lineage: Eukaryota; Fungi; Neocallimastigomycota; Neocallimastigomycetes; Neocallimastigales.
UCAGACGAUGCGUCAUGCAUAUCAAUAAGCGGAGGAAAAGAAACUAACAAGGAUUCCCCUAGUAACGGCGAGUGAAGCGGGAAGAGCUCAAAUUUGAAAUCUUCAAGGUUUUACCUUGACGAAUUGUAGUUUAAAGAAGUGUUUUCGGUUAGAGGAGUUUAGGUAAAAGUUCUUUGGAAUAGGACAUCAUAGAGGGUGAGAAUCCCGUAUUUGACCAUUAUUUUCUAGCUUUGUGAUACACUUUCAAAGAGUCGGAUUGUUUGGGAAUGCAGUCCAAAAUGGGUGGUAAAUUUCAUCUAAAGCUAAAUAUUGGCGAGAGACCGAUAGCGAACAAGUACCGUGAGGGAAAGAUGAAAAGAACUUUGAAAAGAGAGUUAAACAGUACGUGAAAUUGUCAAAAGGGAAGCGUUUGACACCAGUGUUGUUUUCUCGAAAAUCAAUUAAAAAGAGUUGGAUUUUGUGUUGUAUUGACCUUAACAGCUUGCUUCACUCUUUUCCUGCUUUUUUUAAUGCACUUUUCGUUUAACAAGUCAACAUCAGUUUCUUUUGUUGUAAAAGGGUCAUUGGAAGGUGGCUUUCUCUUCGGAGAAUGUGUUUAUAGCCUUUGAUCUCUGCAAUCGGAGAGACUGAGGUCUGCAGCGUAGAUCCUUCGGGGUUAGAUACAUUUGUGCUAAGCUACAGCUUUUCAUAGACAACUUGUUGACUAUGUUUAGUCUUGUAACUUACCCGCUUAUGCUAUUUUACCUACGCUUAGGAUGUUGAUAUGCAAUGACUGAUAU